RNAcentral lists this ribosomal RNA (440 nucleotides) under uncultured bacterium. Its description in RNAcentral is "partial 16S ribosomal RNA". It matches the Rfam family "Bacterial small subunit ribosomal RNA", at positions 338 to 795 of the family's 1533-position model. The record is from RNAcentral.
CCUACGGGGAGCAGCAGUGGGGAAUAUUGCACAAUGGGGGAAACCCUGAUGCAGCGACGCCGCGUGAGUGAAGAAGUAAUUCGUUAUGUAAAGCUCUAUCAGCAGGGAAGAAAAUGACGGUACCUGAGUAAGAAGCCCCGGCUAACUACGUGCCAGCAGCCGCGGUAAUACGUAGGGGGCAAGCGUUAUCCGGAUUUAUUGGGCGUAAAGAGCGCGCAGGUGGUUAAUUAAGUCUGAUGUGAAAGCCCACGGCUUAACCGUGGAGGGUCAUUGGAAACUGGUUGACUUGAGUGCAGAAGAGGGAAGUGGAAGUCCAGGUGUAGCGGUGAAAUGCGUAGAGAUAUGGAGGAACACCAGUGGCGAAGGCGGCUUCCUGGUCUGCAACUGACACUGAGGCGCGAAAGCGUGGGGAGCAAACAGGAUUAGAUACCCCAGUAGUC